UACGUAGGGUGCAAGCGUUGUCCGGAAUUAUUGGGCGUAAAGAGCUCGUAGGCGGUUUGUUGCGUCGGCUGUGAAAUCCCGAGGCUCAACCCCGGGCCUGCAGCCGAUACGGGCAAGCUAGAAUUCGGUAGGGGAGACUGGAAUUCCUGGUGUAGCGGUGAAAUGCGCAGAUAUCAGGAGGAACACCGGUGGCGAAGGCGGAUCUCUGGGCCUGUCCUGACGCUGAGGCGCGAAAGCUAGGGGAGCGAACAGG
This 253-nucleotide ribosomal RNA is filed under the name uncultured bacterium. RNAcentral describes it as "partial 16S ribosomal RNA". It matches the Rfam family "Bacterial small subunit ribosomal RNA", at positions 524 to 776 of the family's 1533-position model. The record is from RNAcentral.